Molecule: ribosomal RNA, 615 nt
Filed under: uncultured bacterium
Lineage: Bacteria
Description: bacterial SSU rRNA
Rfam family: Bacterial small subunit ribosomal RNA
Source: RNAcentral
CCUACGGGAGGCAGCAGUGAGGAAUAUUGGACAAUGGGCGCAAGCCUGAUCCAGCCAUGCCGCGUGCAGGAUGACGGUCCUAUGGAUUGUAAACUGCUUUUGCACAGGAAGAAACAACAUUACGUGUAAUGUCUUGACGGUACUGUGAGAAUAAGGAUCGGCUAACUCCGUGCCAGCAGCCGCGGUAAUACGGAGGAUCCAAGCGUUAUCCGGAAUCAUUGGGUUUAAAGGGUCCGUAGGCGGUUUAGUAAGUCAGUGGUGAAAGCCCAUCGCUCAACGGUGGAACGGCCAUUGAUACUGCUAGACUUGAAUUAUUAGGAAGUAACUAGAAUAUGUAGUGUAGCGGUGAAAUGCUUAGAGAUUACAUGGAAUACCAAUUGCGAAGGCAGGUUACUACUAAUUGAUUGACGCUGAUGGACGAAAGCGUGGGUAGCGAACAGGAUUAGAUACCCUGGUAGUCCACGCCGUAAACGAUGGAUACUAGCUGUUGGGAGCGAUCUCAGUGGCUAAGCGAAAGUGAUAAGUAUCCCACCUGGGGAGUACGUUCGCAAGAAUGAAACUUAAAGAGUAGUAGGACGUGAGAGAGCGACGACGGACGACGACGGAGGGAGGAGG